RNAcentral lists this ribosomal RNA (317 nucleotides) under uncultured eukaryote. RNAcentral describes it as "partial 18S ribosomal RNA". It matches the Rfam family "Eukaryotic small subunit ribosomal RNA", at positions 1470 to 1796 of the family's 1831-position model. The record is from RNAcentral.
CCCUUAGAUGUUCUGGGCCGCACGCGCGCUACACUGAUCAGUGCAACAAGCAUCCGUCCUUGGCCGACAGGCCCGGGCAAUCUUUGAACGCUGAUCGUGAUGGGGAUAGACUUUUGCAAUUUUUGGUCUUCAAUGAGGAAUUCCUAGUAAACGCAAGUCAUCAACUUGCAUUGAUUACGUCCCUGCCCUUUGUACACACCGCCCGUCGCACCUACCGAUUGAAUGGUCCGGUGAAGCCUCCGGAUUGGCGUGCACCCUCGGGUGCUGCCGAGAAGUUGGCUAAACCUUACCAUUUAGAGGAAGGUGAAGUCGUAACA